GGAGUUGUGCCUGAAUUAAAGGACCACUUUGAUAGAGUGAACAAUGAGGGUUAAAGCCCCUCCAACUCCU
RNAcentral lists this transfer RNA (70 nucleotides) under Brachyistius frenatus (kelp perch). RNAcentral describes it as "tRNA-Ile". It matches the Rfam family "tRNA". Rfam says of the family: Transfer RNA (tRNA) molecules are approximately 80 nucleotides in length. Their secondary structure includes four short double-helical elements and three loops (D, anti-codon, and T loops). Further hydrogen bonds mediate the characteristic L-shaped molecular structure. tRNAs have two regions of fundamental functional importance: the anti-codon, which is responsible for specific mRNA codon recognition, and the 3' end, to which the tRNAs corresponding amino acid is attached (by aminoacyl-tRNA synthetases). tRNAs cope with the degeneracy of the genetic code in two manners: having more than one tRNA (with a specific anti-codon) for a particular amino acid; and 'wobble' base-pairing, i.e. permitting non-standard base-pairing at the 3rd anti-codon position. Lineage: Eukaryota; Metazoa; Chordata; Actinopteri; Embiotocidae. The record is from RNAcentral.